AAAUUGAAGAGUUUGAUCAUGGCUCAGAUUGAACGCUGGCGGCAGGCCUAACACAUGCAAGUCGAACGGUAACAGGAAGCAGCUUGCUGCUUCGCUGACGAGUGGCGGACGGGUGAGUAAUGUCUGGGAAACUGCCUGAUGGAGGGGGAUAACUACUGGAAACGGUAGCUAAUACCGCAUAACGUCGCAAGACCAAAGAGGGGGACCUUCGGGCCUCUUGCCAUCGGAUGUGCCCAGAUGGGAUUAGCUUGUUGGUGGGGUAACGGCUCACCAAGGCGACGAUCCCUAGCUGGUCUGAGAGGAUGACCAGCCACACUGGAACUGAGACACGGUCCAGACUCCUACGGGAGGCAGCAGUGGGGAAUAUUGCACAAUGGGCGCAAGCCUGAUGCAGCCAUGCCGCGUGUAUGAAGAAG
RNAcentral lists this ribosomal RNA (416 nucleotides) under Escherichia coli. RNAcentral describes it as "bacterial SSU rRNA". It matches the Rfam family "Bacterial small subunit ribosomal RNA", at positions 1 to 413 of the family's 1533-position model. The record is from RNAcentral. Lineage: Bacteria; Pseudomonadati; Pseudomonadota; Gammaproteobacteria; Enterobacterales; Enterobacteriaceae.